Non-coding RNA from Epinephelus lanceolatus (giant grouper), 1846 nucleotides. The record is from RefSeq and is a predicted model, not a curated record. Lineage: Eukaryota; Metazoa; Chordata; Actinopteri; Perciformes; Serranidae.
ACGAAGCGUUAGCAGCGUUAGCUAUGUGGAUGUAUUUAGUUAGCUGGAAGAAGGUUAUUAGGUCAUAACGCAGGUAAUUAUUCAUGUUAUAGUUUAGCAACAAUGUCUUCAGUUCAGUAUUUGAGAGGGUUUAUCAACGAGAGACUAACUGCUGCUGCUGAAGAAAUAUUCGGAGUUAUAGAGAAAACUAUCGUCGAGUACGAAGAAGAGAUCGACCGUCAGCGCAGACUGUUGGAUAUAACUUGGAAACCUGAAAUAAAGUUACACAGGAUAGUUCCUCCAGAGCUCCCACAGCAACAUGUCUGUAAGGAGGAGGAGGUUGUCGCUGAGCAGCAGCUCUGUAUUGAAGAGAGGAACUCCAGUGUGGAGCAAGAGGAGCCAGAGCCUCCAGAGAUUAAAGAGGAAGAGGAGGAACUGUGCAGCAGUCAGGAGGGAGAGCAGCUUGAAGUGAAGCAGGAGACUGAUGACUUUAUGUUGACUCCUAUUAAUGAGGAAAGUGAGCACAGUGAAGAUCAGACUGUGAACUGGAGUAUCACUGAAACUCAGAAUAUGGUGGAGGAAAUGCCUCUACAGUACAUUUCAGAUAAAAGCUAUGUGGUCCCAGAACCUGACAGUGACCACCAGCUCCUCUCUCAUGAAGCUGAGAGCCAAGAUCAGAAAGGAGACAAGCAUGGAGACUCAGGUUCAACUAGAAAUGCAGAGCAAACAGAACCAAAUAACAACAGCAACAGUCACAUUAACAACUUAUAUAACCCUACUAUAUCAACAAUUCACUAUAAUACUCACACAGGUAAAAAGUCUUUCAAAUGUGACACAUGUGGGAAAGCUUUCACAUGUAGGUCACUUUUUCAGAGACACCUGAGAGCACACACAGGUGAGAAGCCAUAUUCUUGCAACAUUUGCGGGAAAAAAUUCACUCAGACAUCAGGAUUGAACGCUCAUAGAAGAACACACACAGGUGAGAAGCCAUUUAUUUGCAAGAUAUGUGGGAAAGAAUUUGCAUUUAGCAGUCCCUUGACUGUCCACAUGAGAACUCACACAGGAGAGAAGCCAUAUUCUUGCAACAUCUGUGGGAAAAAAUUCAAUCAGAAAUCAAUAUUGAACAAUCAUAGGAGAACACACUCAGGAGAGAAGCCGUAUUGUUGCAAAACAUGUGGAAAAGAUUUCAGAACAAGAGGUAACUUUAUAGAGCACACCAGAAUUCACACAGGAGAGAGGCCGUACUCUUGCAAGACAUGUGGGAAAGAUUUUGGACGUAAGACUGACUUGAAUGUCCACAUGAGAAUCCACACAGGUGAGAAGCCACAUUCUCGCAGCACCUGCAGGAAAAGAUGCUGUCGGACAACAGAAUUGAAAUCUCAUGUAAGAACCCAUACAGGUGACAGACGCCAUAUUAAUACAACACCUGUGGAAAAAAUUCAGACAUAACAGCAAAUCUUUAGUCCACACGUGAGGAGGCCAAAACAGGCAGAAGCUGUACUUUUGCACGAUCUACAGGAACUACAUGGUGCUGUCAGUGGAUCAGCCCAAACAAUGAAUGCAAUGAUACGUGCCCCAAGGAGCAUGGGUGACAAAAUGGUGUUAAAGAAAAGGUUCAUUUCAGAUUGUAAGAUGAUGACAUGCAGGAGGUGAUUUAAUAUUGCAGCACAGCAGCUGGAGGUUAACUAAGAUUUGAUACCGCUAGGUGGUUUCAGUGGAGCUGCUUCAUAUUGAACAAUGUGUGCAGUGGAGGAAUGUAACUACAAGUAGGCUACUCAAGUACAAUAUUCAUGGAUAACAUUGUGCUCAGAUGGGUAAGACUGCAUGUACAUUCCACACAAAUAAAGUAUCACACUUAAAAUAAUAA